GAUGAACGCUGGCGGCGUGCCUAACACAUGCAAGUCGAACGGAAAGACGAGGAACUUGCGUCUUUGGCGUUAGCGGCGCGGGGGUGUGUAACAUGUGUAUAACACACCUAUAUGACUGGGAAAAACUCGUGAAAACGGUGCUUAUCACGGAUUAUCUUCUGAAGCGCAUGGUGCGUAAGUUACAGACGGCCUUUCGGUCAGUUUUCGCAGGUUCCGCGCUGCAUUAGCUGGUUGGUCAGGUAACGGCUUACCAAGGCAACGAGCCAUAGGCGAGCUGAGAGGCUGAUCGGCCACACGGGAACUGAGACACGGUCCAGACUCCUACGGGAGGCAGCAGUAGGGAAUCUUCCGCAAAGGGCGAAAGACUGACGGAGCAACGCCGCGUGAGUGAUGAAGGUCUUCGGAUCGUAAAGCUCUGUUAUGAGGGAAGAACAGAUUUGGAAUUAACCGUGCACUUCUUGACGGUACCUAAUCAGAAAGCCACGGCUAACUACGUG
RNAcentral lists this ribosomal RNA (497 nucleotides) under uncultured bacterium. Its description in RNAcentral is "partial 16S ribosomal RNA". It matches the Rfam family "Bacterial small subunit ribosomal RNA", at positions 28 to 507 of the family's 1533-position model. The record is from RNAcentral.